Molecule: ribosomal RNA, 381 nt
Filed under: Bacillus sp. (in: firmicutes)
Lineage: Bacteria; Bacillati; Bacillota; Bacilli; Caryophanales; Bacillaceae
Description: bacterial SSU rRNA
Rfam family: Bacterial small subunit ribosomal RNA
Source: RNAcentral
CGGGAGGCAGCAGUAGGGAAUCUUCCGCAAUGGACGAAAGUCUGACGGAGCAACGCCGCGUGAGUGAUGAAGGUUUUCGGAUCGUAAAGCUCUGUUGUUAGGGAAGAACAAGUGCAAGAGUAACUGCUUGCACCAUGACGGUACCUAACCAGAAAGCCACGGCUAACUACGUGCCAGCAGCCGCGGUAAUACGUAGGUGGCAAGCGUUGUCCGGAAUUAUUGGGCGUAAAGGGCUCGCAGGCGGUUUCUUAAGUCUGAUGUGAAAGCCCCCGGCUCAACCGGGGAGGGUCAUUGGAAACUGGGAAACUUGAGUGCAGAAGAGGAGAGUGGAAUUCCACGUGUAGCGGUGAAAUGCGUAGAGAUGUGGAGGAACACCAGUGG